GGGUAGUGUCGGAAGGCAAUGUCCUGAAGAGGACUCUGUGGUCUGGGAGCGAUGCGGGUCUAGAGUGAGAACAUGGAGCGAAGACGGGUGAGAUACCGCUAGAAGGGGACACCUUUUGGAGGAAGAACUAAUUCCCUGGAGCAACCAGCAGGAGGCGCCACAGCGGUGAGUCCCACCCCGUGACUGAGGCGAUUACAAGUUUGGUUGAUAAAGGUAAUUGCCUAGAUGUGAUACAGACUUCUACCCGGUGCUUGGCUUAGUACCGCCCAACAUCUGAUUGCAAAUUUAGCACUGUACAAUAGAACUCUGAAGCAUUAUGAGCACCAGAAUUACAAAUUGACAAGUCGACCGCAAGUGUCAUUUGGAACCACACUUGGGCUGUGUAGUGGGGUGGAGACCUCCCCCACUACUGAAGGGGAGAAAAUACCCCUCUGGAAGCCAUUUUGGGUGCAGUAUAGCCCCGCCCAGUCACCUGACCGGAAGGCAAGGGGCAGGGCUAGGACUAUAAAAAGCCUGGCUGAGAGCUUAGUCAGGGCCCAGCCUCUGAGGGAGACAGAGGCCUGCCCACAGGUGCCUUCCACAGGGCGAGGGAAGACGGCUCUGCCAGGGCUGCUGAGGCCUGGCCAAGCCAGCCAGCAGAGGUACCCGGGGCUCUGCUGGUGCCUGGUGAACUUGAGGACCUGCCUGAGGCAGAGGUCCUGCUUAAGUCCCGAGGCCUGUGGACACCCAGACACCCUAAGGUCCUGCCCGAGCCAGAGGACCUACAGACUGACGGGGACCCUGAGAGCUUGCCAGAGCUGGUGGACCGGCUUGAACCCCGAUGGCUGCCAGAACCCCGGGGCCUGACGAGCCCGCUGGACGCUGCAGAGCUCCAACCCACUGAAGCCUGGAUUGGGCCGCCCGGACCCUGCUGGGACGACACUGACCUCGGCUCCCUAGCGUGCUGGAGAAACAGACACCAGGCUCAAAGCCCACCGUUGGGGGAAGCCGGGGAGCGGAGAUGAAAACAUCUCCGGCCACAGGGUUUCAGGAGGCUGAUACCUCUCUUCAGCCUGCGGAAGCACCGAGGCGUGUGAGACGGCGGCUGCUUGACCUGAGGAGCCAGAGAGAGUGUUUGGAGAUAAAGCUGAGACACAGAGGCCCAGUGGUGCAUCACCGGCCUCUGUCAGCCACUCUCCUCAGGCCUGACAAACUCACUGCUAAGGAAGGUACUGCUGCCUGGCCCCGCCACAGCUGUGGGGCCUGCCAUGGUCACAUCCCACUGCCCACCCAUCAGCCUCACCACUGCUAUGGCUGCUCUGGUCUGGCGUGUCUGACCACCACUGGAGUUAAUUAGCAAGGACCGGUUAACUGGUAAGCUUCAUGCUUAGGUAAGCAGGCACUGAACUCAUACCAUGUUGCUUUCCUCUAGUACUCUCCUGCUCAUGUAGUUCUUGU
Non-coding RNA from Pelodiscus sinensis (Chinese soft-shelled turtle), 1437 nucleotides. The record is from RefSeq and is a predicted model, not a curated record. Lineage: Eukaryota; Metazoa; Chordata; Testudines; Trionychidae.